UACGUAGGGGGCAAGCGUUGUCCGGAUUUAUUGGGCGUAAAGAGCGUGUAGGCGGCCUUACAGGUCAGCUGUGAAAACUCGAGGCUCAACCUCGAGACGUCGGUUGAAACCGUAAGGCUAGAGUCCGGAAGAGGAGAGUGGGAUUCCCGGUGUAGCGGUGAAAUGCGCAGAUAUCGGGAAGAACACCCGUGGCGAAGGCGGCUCUCUGGGACGGUACUGACGCUGAGAUGCGAAAGCGUGGGGAGCGAACAGG
RNAcentral lists this ribosomal RNA (253 nucleotides) under uncultured bacterium. RNAcentral describes it as "partial 16S ribosomal RNA". It matches the Rfam family "Bacterial small subunit ribosomal RNA", at positions 524 to 776 of the family's 1533-position model. The record is from RNAcentral.